AUUAGUUCUUUAUUAGGGGACUCUUGCCCUCAAUUUUCACAAGUUGUUUCACUAGAUCACAAUGGUAGUGUUGCUGUUCUUCGUUCUAGCCCUCCCCACCCUCUUCCUAUUCAUUCUCUUAAAACAAAGAAAUAAUGGCAAUAUUCUUCUUCCCCCAGGCCCGCCAGGUCUUCCCUUGAUCGGUCACUUGCAUAUGGGAGUAUCAACUUUGGAGCUUGCCCUUGCCAAUCUUCUUUACAAAUUUGAUUGGGAAAUGCCGGCCGGGAUGAAUAAAGAAGACUUUGAUGUGAUACCUGAUGGAUAGGCAUAGAGGAAUCAAAAUCUUGGAUUGGCCUGCGAGAUUUCACCUUUCAUUAUUGAACCCAUAUCGCGAAAAUUCAACAAUGAAGACGUAUGGUUCCUACUGCAAUGGACCACUAACCAGUCUAAAGAUCAAAUGAUGCCGUGAAGGACUGAAGGAUUCUGAUGGAGAGGGUGACGUUAAGGAGAAGCUAAACAUUCUGCUUCUUUGACACUUGGUUCCAGCUUUAUGAAUUUCUGUAUAACAUUAUAUUUACCAGAGACGCGAGAAUCAAGCAUAAGCCAAUUAUUGGCAAGCGUGAGGAAAUUUGUACAUUUUCUUUGUUGACCAUACAACCUGGAACCACCAAUCUCAACGUUCAUUCCAAAACAAAACAAACAGCAAAUAAUCCGUGAACAAAGCAACAGCAUAUUCCUGAAGAGAAAUCUUUUGAUAGGUUUGAAGGGUUUAAGACCCCGUCCGCAUGUAGGAUGGUGCGGUAAAUCUUUUGGUAAUUGUACAAUAUUACUUACUAUCCAAAUCAAGUAUUGAUGUUAUUGAAAAUCGUUUUUUAA
Molecule: non-coding RNA, 855 nt
Organism: Theobroma cacao (cacao)
Lineage: Eukaryota; Viridiplantae; Streptophyta; Magnoliopsida; Malvales; Malvaceae
Source: RefSeq, a predicted model, not a curated record